GACGAACGCUGGCGGCGUGCUUAACACAUGCAAGUCGUACGGUAAGGCCCUUUCGGGGGUACACGAGUGGCGAACGGGUGAGUAACACGUGAGUAACCUGCCCACAACUUUGGGAUAACGCUAGGGAACUGGUGCUAAUACUGGAUAUGUGCUCCUGCUGCAUGGUGGGGGUUGGAAAGCUCCGGCGGUUGUGGAUGGACUCGCGGCCUAUCAGCUUGUUGGUGGGGUAGUGGCCUACCAAGGCGGCGACGGGUAGCCGGCCUGAGAGGGUGACCGGCCACAUUGGGACUGAGAUACGGCCCAGACUCCUACGGGAGGCAGCAGUGGGGAAUAUUGCACAAUGGGCGCAAGCCUGAUGCAGCAACGCCGCGGGCGGGAUGACGGCCUUCGGGUUGGAAACCGCUUUCAGCAGGGACGAAGCUUUUUGUGACGGUACCUGCAGAAGAAGCACCGGCUAACUACGUG
This 465-nucleotide ribosomal RNA is filed under the name uncultured bacterium. RNAcentral's name for it is "partial 16S ribosomal RNA". It matches the Rfam family "Bacterial small subunit ribosomal RNA", at positions 28 to 507 of the family's 1533-position model. The record is from RNAcentral.